RNAcentral lists this ribosomal RNA (467 nucleotides) under uncultured bacterium. RNAcentral describes it as "partial 16S ribosomal RNA". It matches the Rfam family "Bacterial small subunit ribosomal RNA", at positions 28 to 507 of the family's 1533-position model. The record is from RNAcentral.
GACGAACGCUGGCGGCGUGCUUAACACAUGCAAGUCGAACGGAAAGGCCUCUUUCGGGGGGUACUCGAGUGGCGAACGGGUGAGUAACACGUGAGUAACCUGCCCUUGACUUUGGGAUAACUUCAGGAAACUGGGGCUAAUACCGGAUAGGAGCUCCUGCUGCAUGGUGGGGGUUGGAAAGUUUCGGCGGUUGGGGAUGGACUCGCGGCUUAUCAGCUUGUUGGUGGGGUAGUGGCUUACCAAGGCUUUGACGGGUAGCCGGCCGGGGAGGGUGACCGGCGACAUUGGGGCUGAGAGACGGCCCAGACUCCGACGGGAGGCAGCAGGGGGGAAUAUUGCACAAUGGGUGGAAGCCUGAUGCAGCAACGCCGUGGGCGGGAGGACGGCCUUCGGGUUGUAAACCGCUUUCGCUCAUGACGAAGCUUUGUGUGACGGUAGUGGGUAAAGAAGCACCGGCUAACUACGUG